RNAcentral lists this ribosomal RNA (253 nucleotides) under uncultured bacterium. RNAcentral's name for it is "partial 16S ribosomal RNA". It matches the Rfam family "Bacterial small subunit ribosomal RNA", at positions 524 to 776 of the family's 1533-position model. The record is from RNAcentral.
UACGGGGGGGGCAAGCGUUGUUCGGAAUUACUGGGCGUAAAGGGCGCGUAGGCGGUCUUGUAAGUCUUGUGUGAAAUCCCUCGGCUUAACUGAGGAACUGCACGAGAUACUGCAAGACUUGAGAUCGGGAGAGGGAAGCGGAAUUCCGGGUGUAGCGGUGAAAUGCGUAGAUAUCCGGAGGAACACCGGUGGCGAAGGCGGCUUCCUGGACCGACACUGACGCUGAGGCGCGAAAGCUAGGGGAGCAAACGGG